UUAUAUCCAAAUAAAUACACUAAGACUUAAAGUCUAAGCUAAUAUCCCGAAGAAACUAAAGAUCUAUUGCUGACUAAAGUUACACCACUAUUGCUGUUAGCAGGCAUAACAUUUCUUCAGCUAUGUUACUCACAUGAGAUUUAUUACUAUACUUUUACAACUGAAGGUUUCAAAGAUAAUACUUUUACACACUCAAAGGAUUUGACUUACAAAUGCACAUUUCUGGAAAAUAUAGGAUUUUCUAGGGAAUCCUACUACUCAUAAACAUAAGUUUCAGUUUCUAUAUUAUGUUUUUGUAAAACUCUUUUACACAAACAACGACACUAAAAUCUUAUGAACUCACCAUCUUUAUGCUGAUACUCGUUUUCAAAAUAACUUGUAUCCUCAGGUCAAAGAUAGACAGGUACUGGUGUAGCUUUUGGAGANAUGAUUGUAUGAUUAUUAAGGAAAGUAUUGCAAGGUUAGCAAUAUUAAUUAUAGAAAACAAGAGUCAUACUUUGCAAAGUCGCAAUAGUUGAAUAAUUGUUUUGCUAUAAUUAAGGGAGAGAAUAUUAUGCUUCAUUUCAAAUCUAAAGGAUUAGGUUGAGAAAUGUUAAUAAAUUUAGUCAAAGGUACAUAGUGUGUUCUUAAAAUUUCGAUUAUGAUUACGGCAUUCCUCUUCACAAUUCGAAUUUUGAGAACAUAGCAAAUAAAACACUAUGCAUCGUGUCCCAUACGCUUCGGGUAUAGGAUUGAUUGCAAAUGCUUUAAUGUUUGACCAUUCUAAAAUUUUCCAAAUGUCUAGCGCAUUUAAAGCGAAAAAGGACUAGAAUUGGUUUUGACUAAAAUAAUUAAACAACUAUCAAAGGACAAUCCAAAGUUCGACGAUGAUUGGUUGCUUGUGAAUAGUUGGAAGCAUGGUAUUGGAUCGACCAUAUGGACAUUAUUAUGAAUAGAAAAGAUUCUAUUAAGAAUGAGUUGUCAUAUGGAAAAUAUGGAAAUGUUUCCAUNAAGUCUAAAAACUUACCAACACUACCACAAGAUCGUUAGAACAAGAAUACUAUAGGAGUAUUAUGCAUUCUACUAACUAAGUAUGUGAUAACUAAAAGGGUCGUUACUGGUAGGACAAUGGUUGCUAAGUGGAUACACCACGGUUACAUGUGACUAGGGCGCCAUAGACUUAGAAUCUGUGGCCUUUGCUUCAUUUCUUAUUCUUGUUUGAUUGGGAAUUUGGGUGUUUCAUUAAGGACUAUCUUUAUAUCUAAUCUAAACUUGUCCUUCUUCCUUUCAGAUGUCUUCCAACAAUGAUGAUGUUGUAUUAGUGUCUAAGUCCAUGACUAUUUUGGUAUGUACUUGACCCGAUGGUGCAUGGUCCUUUUGGGUUGCCNAGCAAGAAUUUGAUAUUCUUUCACUUAUGGAAAUGGAUUUGGAGUUGUGAAAUGAGAAUGAUUGGAAAUGUGUUCAAUUUGAUCUAUUUCACAAAGAAAGAACCAUAGGUAAACAUUGUGUGCAUGCUAGGAGCAUGGGACAAGUGUAGUAAUUCAAGUAAGAAGUCGAUUACCCGAAACGACAAAUAAUGAGUAAUCGAUAUGAUGAUAAAUAAAAGGUGUUUUAUUUAUGCUCAAAGGUUUGAGGCCAUAUGGGAUUAGUAUUAUUCUUGUGUUUCACUUUGCAUGUUUUGACUUCCUGAACAAUUUAAUUGGUUAAGAACAGUAAAAUUAUUCGCACGGGCCACAGUCGUUCAUAUGUUGGAAGUAGGUAUGAAUGAAGACUGUCGUGAAUUGGUGUGUGGAUUGUCUAAAAGAGUAUUAGACAUAGGCAAAUGUUUGCUGCAACGUUCAUGAGUGCUUAUGAAUAUGAAUUUGCGCAUUGGAUUAAACCCACGCUCAUUUGGAUCACUCCAUGGAUUGUAUCACGAGUGAUUGGUGAGACGAUAACAUCUUAUAUUCUUGAAACCGAGAUGUGUGAGUUGUAUCUUGCUAAUCGGUUGCACAUUGAUAAUAUGUAAACUACUCGAAUAGUCCAUGUCGUUUGGGUAAUUUACAUGUAUGGUCCUUAUUAUUAUUUUUUUUAACUCUGGAUGAUUCUUAUGGUUUGGUUUUGUUUCGCUUUUAAUCCUCACCCGAGUUAAUAUGACUAUCAUUCUCUUACUAAUAUUUUUCUAUAAUUUUUUUUAAUUCAUUUUUUUUAUGUUACUAUUAGAUAGAGUAAAUUAUUAAUGUUUAAAAUAGGCCCACCCACAACCCCAUGUCGCUUUCCUUCUUCAGUGAAAUACCACCACUACCGUUGAAACCACCUCCCACCAGAGAAACAAUCCCCGACCACCAUUAUACGGUUCUUGUGCAUUGGUCAGCUCCAAUGAUAUCCGUAACUACUAGUCAUAAAGGAUAUAUCCAUAUAUGAUUAGAUAAGUAGACAAAAAUUAUGUAGUCAAAGUUUAUUUGUUCAUUCUCAUAAUUCAGAAGCAAUAUGUAUUAGCCCCUCAAUGAUUUGGUACUAUCUAAAGUGUUUGGUCGAGCCUUGACUAAAUUGAUGUGUUCGAUUUAGAAGUUAGAUUUGAUUGUCAGAAAUUGUUAAUCGCGGGAAACAAAAUGUUGAAUAUUGAGAUUUUACCCUAUCAAUGUCUCAUGUUCAUAGAGAUAUCUAGAAUGAAGGAAUAAUUCAUGACUUGUCUAAGGACUAAGUUUUGAUUCCAGCAAGAGUUUAGCAGUUGCAUUGGAUAACUACUCUUUGUUCAUCAUCUUCAUGUUCACAUUUUUCACCAUAUUCUAAAAUAGAAUCAACAUCAUCAAUAGAAACCACAUCAUCUUCAAGAUCCGGAUGAAUCCAAUCAAACAAAGAUUCAUGAUAGUGAUCUACAUACAUAUUCAAUCUCUUGUUUCUAAUGGUAGCUUCAAGAAACUCAUGAAAAUCUCACUCAUUUUGUAUGGCAUGCAAUCCCUAAGCCACACUUACUUUAGGUAGACAAUAAUAUACAACUUUGCACUUAUACUUAGUAAUUUCCUCAAGAAAAGAGAUAAAUCGGGGAAGGUGAUCUUGUUCACAUCUAUGUAUUGUACAAAACUCUAGUUACAUCAAAAUACACCAAUGGUGUAGGUGAGAACGUGUCAUUAUAGUGUACAUCCAAGAUUGGAUUUUCAUCUUAUUCCAUGGUAGAUUUCAUUUGCGACUCAAGAAGCUUGGGCAUAAUGGAGGAAUGGUGGCUGAGUAAAUAAAUCCUAAUUUCCCGUUAUCAUCAUAAUAUGGGUGUAAUAUGUGCUUAUUUACGUAAGCUACCAUCUGGACACCACAUAUGUAAUUCAUUUCACCAAAAUAAAGGGGAAAUCAUAUAUGACCGACAAACCAGGUUUAGGUGUGUAACCGGUCAAAAGGAUUUCAUGAGUAUAAAAAAACAAGUGUGAGGGCCUAUUUUACAUAAAUAAAUAAAUAAAUAAAAAGGAGUCAACGUGUACAAAAGGAGAACCAGGUUACCCUUUUAGGUCAUUUUCCCCUAAACUAAUUAUGUCAAAAAUUAGAGCAUACCCCCCCCCCCCCCCCCAAAAAAAAAAAAAAUCUCUCUCCUUUCCUUAUUUAAAUGUAUCGGAGUUAAUGAGAAAAUGAGAAAUCAAUUUUGAAAGAUAGAUGAUGAAAUUAGGAGUAAAAGUGAAAAUCCAAUGGUGUUUCUAAGCUAAUUCUUAAAGUAGAAGCUUGUAAGGUAGCUUUCCUUUUCCUUGUUGUCUUCUAGGUUUACAAAUGUUCCAUAAAUCUUAAUAUCUAUGAUGAAACUCAUGAUUAUAUUAAGUUAUGUGUUCUAUUAUAGGUUUAUAACACCAAUCCAAUGAUGUAACUGCAUGACCUCAUGAGUUAGUUGACAUGCUAUAAUACCCCACAAUAGAAGGGAGUCCCAGAGAGGAAGAACAGGCAUUUGGCAGAGAUUUCGAGUAGUAUGAUCCAUGAUAAAAGUGUUUUGGUAAAGUUUUGGGUGGAAACAAUGAUAAUUGUAGCAUAAGUAAUUAAUAGAAUUCCACAGCAAGGUCUCUCAUAUCGGUGUACAUUCGAAAAGAUGUGGAAAAUGAAACCAAAUGUAAGUCUUCUGAGAGUUUUUGGCUGUGAUAGCUUUCCAUUUUCCAUCUCACACCCUCAUCAAAAUUGACAUUUUCAAAAACAUGUCUAAACACAUACCACGUGCAUUCACUUACCAAUUUCUAUAAAUAUUAGGUCAUCUCCAUCUCUAGAAAUGUGGGUUUUCAAUGCAGAAUCUAAGCAUUUUCCUUUUUUAUUGGUUGCCAAGAUUUCACAUUGACACCUUUGUAGUCCGUUACUUGUCCUUUGUAGUGAACACAUGCUUCUUGCUCACUGGUCGCUUCACCAUGCUCUUGCUCAUCGAUUAUUAGGUAACAACCACGGUGUAGAUGUAACUACAUUGAAGUGAAAAGUAUUGGUGUUCUAUCAAAUGUAUUGACAAAGAUCCAAACAUUGUUCGUAAAGAAAUAAUUACAUUAGAGAAUGACACAAGAAAACCAAAUGAAGAAUAUAAUUGUGCCAUUAAAUUGGGGAAAAACAUUCAUUACAACCUUAGUCUAAAUGCCUUGUUUUAUAAUUCAUAGUAUUUGUGUUCCGUUUGACACUCAUUUAAUCAAGCAGAAAGUCUUCUAAUCAUGAAAUUUGAAAAGUACUAAUUAUAACAUUUUAUUCACAUUUAAUCAAGCACAAAGCCUUCUCAGCAUGAAAUUUGAAAAGUACUAAUUAUGGAAGUUCAACACAAAUUGAACAACAUUGAGCUUUAUAUAACUUAUUGACUUAUUGUCAUAUAUUUUCAACUAAAUGACAAGAAAGUCUUCUAAUCAUGAAAUUUGAAAUGACAAGAAAUUCACAUUUAAUCAAGCACAAAGCCUUCUCAGCAUGAAAUUUGAAAAGUACUAAUUAUGGAAGUUCAACACAAAUUGAACAACAUUGAGCUUUAUAUAACUUAUUGACUUAUUGUCAUAUAUUUUCAACUAAAUGACAAGAAAGUCUUCUAAUCAUGAAAUUUGAAAAGUACUAAUUAUGGAAGUUCAACACAAAUUGAACAACAUUGAGCUUUAUAUAACUUAUUGACUUAUUGUCAUAUAUUUUCAACUAAAUGACAAGAAAGUCUUCUAAUCAUGAAAUUUGAAAAGUACUAAUUAUGGAAGUUCAACACAAAUUGAACAACAUUGAGCUUUAUAUAACUUAUUGACUUAUUGUCAUAUAUUUUCAAUUAAAUGACAAGAAAGUCCUGAACUUUAUUUUUUUGACAGUAAAGUUCUAACCACCGACAGUUUUUGACACUUUUACCAUUUUUUUCUGGUUAGUCGGUAAUUAGAUUGUUUUUGUCAAAAUAAUAAAGUUUAUGACUUUCUUGUCAAAUCGUGAAUUAAGACUUUACUAUAAAAAAAAAGUUUAGGAUAUUUUUGUCAAAUCGUUGAAAAUAUUGGGACUUUAGUGUAUUUUCAUAGCCCAAGAAAUUUUAAUUGUGAUUUUUGUCACAACAUCACUGUUUUUCUUACCAUCAUCAUCUUUACCCUAAUAUAAUCACUAGUAACUUGGUGUUAUAAAACAUAUUGUUGUGUGUGAUUCGGUGAGUGAGUGCAAGCGAGCAUUGUAUCAAAGUUUAUCCCUUCCUUUUAUCCAAAGUAGGAUAAAAGUGAUACCUUUGGGCCCCUCGAUGGUUUAGUGAUGACAAACGUAAAUGCUCGGCCGGGCUAGGGCUAAUUUGAUUUGUUCAAUUAGUCAUUCGUCAUAAAUCGGAAAUCGAGAAAUAAUACAAAGAGAAUGAUUUGAAAUCAUAUCUCAUACGAUAUCUAGAAUGGGGGAAUAUAUGAUCCCUUAUCUAAAGGACACGCGUAUCUGAUAGGAUCAGAGUUGACAGUGGCUUUGGAAAGCUACGAUUGCAUAUCAGGAUCUGAAGUCAUACGCAAAAUAGUUAUUAGACGUAUCCAAGUGGGAGACUGUUGGAUUAGUGUCUAAGUCCAUGACUAUUUUGGUAUGUACUUGACCCGAUGGUGCAUGGUCCUUUUGGGUUGCCUUCACCAAAGCAACUUAAUAGGAUGAAUCAUGGAGAGAAAGGAUUAAAUAUGAAUUAUUAAUUAUUAUGAGAAUAAUAUAUUAAAGGAGAAAUCAUAUUGUUUAAUUAAUAUUAGUCAAUAAUUAAUUAGUAAUUAGUUUUGUGACUAAAAGAGAUUAAUUAAACUUAAGGGACUGGAAUUGUAAUUAUAAGAUAAUUGCAAUUUGGGCUAUGGAUUGUCUUAUAUUGAGGAGUAGACGAAUUCUAUGGGGAAACGCAUGAGGAAAUCGUCCAAGGCCUUAAGGAAAGGAGUCCAUGGGUUGCUUAGGGCUUAAGCAUCCAAAUUAGGGUUUCCUUGUUAGAUAACCCUAAUAGCCUCACUAUAUAUAGAACCCUUAAGGCUCAAAAACGUGGGGAACUUCUCUUCUAGGGCUAGAACAUGUUUUGGGCAGCCUCUAUCCUCUCUCCUCUUCAUCCUCUUGCUCUUGGUGUUUGUGAACCAUUAGAGGAGUGCCAUUUGUGACUCUAAGCUUUCUAA
Molecule: long non-coding RNA, 6521 nt
Filed under: Lactuca sativa (garden lettuce)
Lineage: Eukaryota; Viridiplantae; Streptophyta; Magnoliopsida; Asterales; Asteraceae
Description: long non-coding RNA (LSAT_LNC008723)
Source: RNAcentral